GCCAGUGGUGAUGGCAAGCUGAAUACACCAGUUCCAAUCGGAUUACUGAAGUUAAGCAACGGUACGCGUGGUUAGUAUCCGGAUGGGUGACCAUCUGGGCCAAAGCGUGCUACUGGCU
Molecule: ribosomal RNA, 118 nt
Filed under: Diaphorina citri (Asian citrus psyllid)
Lineage: Eukaryota; Metazoa; Arthropoda; Insecta; Hemiptera; Psyllidae
Source: RNAcentral